GUUCAAAUAGUUUAAAAAAAAUGUUGGUUUGUGAAGCCUAAGAUAUAAUUUAUUUAUUUUGGACA
Molecule: transfer RNA, 65 nt
Filed under: Stemonopa insignis
Lineage: Eukaryota; Metazoa; Arthropoda; Malacostraca; Decapoda; Albuneidae
Description: tRNA-His
Rfam family: tRNA
About the family: Transfer RNA (tRNA) molecules are approximately 80 nucleotides in length. Their secondary structure includes four short double-helical elements and three loops (D, anti-codon, and T loops).
Source: RNAcentral